RNAcentral lists this ribosomal RNA (467 nucleotides) under uncultured bacterium. Its description in RNAcentral is "bacterial SSU rRNA". It matches the Rfam family "Bacterial small subunit ribosomal RNA", at positions 28 to 491 of the family's 1533-position model. The record is from RNAcentral.
GAUGAACGCUAGCGACAGGCUUAACACAUGCAAGUCGAGGGGCAGCACGGGUAGCAAUACCUGGUGGCGACCGGCGCAAGGGUGCGUAACGCGUGAGCAACAUGCCCUAUACAGGGGGAUAAUCCAGGGAAACUUGGUCUAAUAUCCCAUAGUAUUUAGAGGAGGCAUCUUCUAUAAAUUAAAGCUUCGGUGGUAUAGGAUCGGCUCGCGUGACAUUAGCUAGAUGGUGAGGUAACGGCUCACCAUGGCAAUGAUGUCUAGGGGUUCUGAGAGGAAGGCCCCCCACACUGGGACUGAGACACGGCCCAGACUCCUACGGGAGGCAGCAGUGAGGAAUAUUGGACAAUGGAUGGAAAUCUGAUCCAGCCAUGCCGCGUGCAGGAAGACAGCCCUAUGGGUUGUAAACUGCUUUUAAUGGGAGCAAUAAGGUCUACGUGUAGACUGAUGAGAGUACCAUAUGAAUAAGC